This 1531-nucleotide long non-coding RNA is filed under the name Octopus vulgaris (common octopus). Lineage: Eukaryota; Metazoa; Mollusca; Cephalopoda; Octopoda; Octopodidae. The record is from RNAcentral.
UUAUAAAUGAAUGUUAUUAAUGGGAUGUGUUCAUGUUUUUGUUCCUCAGAUGUGUGUUUUGUGAAGACGAAGUGGCCACAGAGACGUUCUUUCCAUGUAAACAUCUUUCGCUGUGUAAGAAAUGCUGUCCCCAAAGAUACCUAAACGAUGCCCUACGUGUGGACAGAAGAUAACGAGCAAAAAUAGUUUGGGUAAUAAUACUGUAUGAUCUGUCUGUUUGUCUCAUGGGCUUUAUGGUGUGGAAUAUUGUAUUUCAUGUUGUUGUGUAGAUCCAGUUCUGAUUAAUCAAGCACACUUUUGAUAAAAGAUGUUUCAGGUGUCUUUUCUCUGUCAUAUUAUGUCUCUCACUACUCCCACUAAACAUUGUUCUUGUCCAAUUAGAAGACUUGUCACUCUUCAAGAUGGCUACUUUCUGCAACAUAAAAAUAAUAAAGAAUACUGAAUUAUAAAUGGUGACUAAAUACCAAUAAAUCACCAAGGUUCUCUUAGUAAAUACCGACAUCUUGUGUGUGAUUAGAGUGAUUAAUGAUUUAUCAAUAUCUUCGGAAGCCGAUAAUUAAAAACAACUGCAUUUAUAUGAAUAUCAGAGUGAGCCUUUAUAAAAUAGGAGACUCAAUAAGAAAAUCUCAACUGAGGGUUUAGGGACCAACAUUAGAGAGGGGACAUCAAAAGGGUGGGAAACUUUGAUUGAUGUAUAGAUUAGUAUUCCUGAGUAUCAGUUCUUCUGAACCGUUUCAAAUAUUUUCACAGCAAUAAUGUGUGGACGACAAGUUUUAUGUCGUUAAUGAGGUUUUGUGUGAAUGUAGUGUGUUAAUUUAGAACACGAGAUAUCACUUCCUGUUAGACCUGAUGUCACUUUCUGUUCGACCUGCUUUAAUCUGGAGGAUGAAUGACAUUGAAAUAUCUUCAGAUAUUUCCCCACAUCUGAUUACAUUCUGGAGAACUGUGAUGUGGGUAAUUAAGAUUAAAGAUUACUAAUAGUAACGAAUAACAAAGAGAACAGGUAUAUAUAUAUCCUGAAGUGGUGUUUCGUGUUUGGGGUUGGAUAUUCGAUGCGCAACUUGGUUGACAUUUGAAUUUAGCAGAAGAUGAGACGAAUAUUGAUUAGAGAUCUCUGGAGGUGAAAUGACGAUGUCUUGUCAAAGAUCUGGAACAAACAUAAGAAAACCAAAACGAAACUAAGAGAAAAUCUGUUGUUAUUAGGGGAUAAUUAAACGAGAUAAUUUCAGAAUUGUUAAAAUUGUUGGAUGCCUUAAGAGACAGAGAAGGGUUGUUAAGUGUAGCUUAUGCUGUUGUGGACCUAAAUUUUGAAUAAUUACAUUGUAAUACUGUAGAAAUUAUACAAAUGCUCUCCAAAAGCAUGAUGGUCACCAGUUGACCAAUGAUGAUAGGAUUGUCUAACAAUAAUAAAACAUCGAUUAUUAAUAAUGAUAAAGACUUUUUUCUACAGUGUUUAAAACAUGAAAUUGUUUAUUUCAGAGGGUCCAAAGUCGUCAAAGCCGGAAGUCCAGAUGUUGGCAGAACCACCUGG